GUCCUCCCCAUAGCCCCCCCGCCCCUCCCCCAAAGUCACAGCCCCCUCCCUCUGCUCCUGUGGGCCCCAGGGGUUCAGCAGCUGGGUCUGAGACAGAAAAGUGGAGGACCUCCCAAGAGGGGCCGCCGGGAGAGGGAGCGGUGGGCACGCCCCCGCCACAGGGGGCACCUAAUUAUCACCGAGGCUGCGGAGCCUCCCUGGAGAGGCCGGGAGCCCAGAGCAGGCCGGGAAGGCCUGGCUUCUCUCACUGGACAGCUCCCUGCCCUGGGAGUUCCGGUUCUGACUUCCCGCUGGCUGACCCUGUCCAGUCUCUCCAGAACCAACUUCUCCCCCUGAGAAAGAUGCUCGUGCUCACGCCUUCCUCCCAGGCUCGGGGAGGAUCGAACGGAAUCAGACCCACAGAGCACUCGGCAAAUGCAGGAUCACCAUAAAGUCCAGCCCUCGGCAUGUCGGCUCCGGGCCCUCGGCCCCCACUGCUGUUGGCUCUUUUCCUCCAAGGAACGAAGCCAGAGAAGGGGCCCAUGAAGAAGCAGCCGCGUUUACCUGGGCUAAAUCUCAGGUGUGCAGUGAUGGCCAGCAAGGGCGGUCACCCCCCAUGACGAAGGCCAGUCACCCCCAGUCACCCCCAACAGUGAGAGAUGGUCACCCCCCACCACGAGGGCCAGUCACCCCCCACGGCGAGGGCCAAGGCUCUGGACGCUGGAUGGAAGGCAGGGGGACCCACCUCGAAGCCCCGCUCUGACUCUCUGGGCCCAGGUGGGUCACCAUCUCUGAGGUUCGGCGCCCACCGGAACAGGGGAGGGAGAAUAAUCGCGGCCCCCCUCGGUCACUGCCAGGAGCGAAUGGGAUAAACCAGGGCCGAGGGGUCGCCCCCCACCACCGCGCUCCCCGCAAGGCCGGGGCCAGGGUAAAGUCUGACUGGGAGGCGUGUCACACAACAGUAAGAACACAGAGACAGAUAAUGUAACUAUAUGGUUUUCCAAGUCACCAGGGCCGUCCACCAGGGACCCCGAGGAGCCACCGCCAGUCACUCAGAGGGUGAAUCCCCUCCUGGGGUCAUGAUCAUGAUGGCGGGAGAGCAGAUGGCGGGAAGGGGAAUCGGAGGAAACACGAGAGCAGAGCUGGAAGGAUGGCACUCGGGGCUCAGAAUCACAGACUUGGGGCCAGGGAAGAAGGCUCCCCACACUCCCGGAGGCAGGAGCUCCUCCUCGGGGUCAGGGGUCUGUGCCCAGCUCCACUUCUACCAUUUGGGGAAACUGAGGCACAGAGCUCACACAGGUGGGAAGCCGUGCCGGGGGUCAGACCCACAGCCUUUGGCGCCAAAGCCGGCUCUUCCCCUGCCCCUGAGCAAACACUGGUUGGUGGAGGAUGGAAUCACACAGGAGCCCCCAGAGCCUCCUGACGGUGUGGUCGGCACUGAGGGCCCGGGGCCAGCCCAGAAAGAGCCCGGGUCUGCCCGGCAGCCGCUGCGCCCUGAGCCUGCCGGGGUGGGAGAGGUCUGAAGCUUUUAGGGGAGGGGAGAGGCAGAAGACCCGGGCAAAAUAAAGUGGCUGCUGGGCUUUCACCUGCUCCUCCCCAAAGCCUGCCUUCCUUUCCCUCUCUCUCCCCACAGGCCCUUUCUCUGUCUCCACUGACUUUCAUUGGCUGAGACUUUGAAAAUAAAGUGUUUCCCCUUAUUUCUCAUUUUAAAAUAAAGGAAGAAACCUUUCUCUUAAAAAAGAUGAGGACUCAGGACCGAGGAAUCGCCCACGAUUCUUCCUAAACUCAUCCAGAGCUCCCUGCAGCUUCUCCGGCCAAUGAGGCAGACUGGAAAACGGAGGCAGAGAGCAGGAGGAGAAAAGGAGCGGCUGCAUCGAGCGACUUAGAAGAUGUUCUGUACCCGUCGGCUAUGGUGACAACGAAGGCCGUGACCCUCGUGUGGAUCUGUCCUGGGCGUGACUGUAACUAAGGGCUGAGACCAGACACGAAUUAGGGCACAAAUGUCCACUUGAAAAGGCUUGUGGGAGGGGGGAGAGCGUGGCGGGCCUGAAACCCGUGGGAUGGUGGGCAGCCUCAUCGAGAGGCCUUCUUGUACGUAGGAAAUAAAAUAAACACAAAUCAAUACAAUAAUAUAAUAAACAAACAUAACUGUUA
Molecule: long non-coding RNA, 2133 nt
Organism: Sarcophilus harrisii (Tasmanian devil)
Lineage: Eukaryota; Metazoa; Chordata; Mammalia; Dasyuromorphia; Dasyuridae
Exons: 3
Source: RefSeq, a predicted model, not a curated record